This 484-nucleotide ribosomal RNA is filed under the name uncultured bacterium. RNAcentral's name for it is "partial 16S ribosomal RNA". It matches the Rfam family "Bacterial small subunit ribosomal RNA", at positions 30 to 507 of the family's 1533-position model. The record is from RNAcentral.
AUUGAACGCUGGCGGAAUGCUUUACACAUGCAAGUCGAGCGGCAGCGCGGCCUUCGGGCUGGCGGCGAGCGGCGAACGGGUGAGUAAUGCAUCGGAACAUGCCCAGUCGUGGGGGAUAACACUUCGAAAGAAGUGCUAAUACCGCAUACGUCCUGAGGGGGAAAGCGGGGGAUCGCCAGACCUCGCGCGAUUGGAGUGGCCGAUGUCAGAUUAGCUAGUUGGUGGGGUAAAGGCCUACCAAGGCGACGAUCUGUAGCUGGUCUGAGAGGAUGAUCAGCCACACUGGGACUGAGACACGGCCCAGACUCCUACGGGAGGCAGCAGUGGGGAAUUUUGGACAAUGGGGGCAACCCUGAUCCAGCCAUUCCGCGUGAGUGAAGAAGGCCUUCGGGUUGUAAAGCUCUUUCGGCAGGAACGAAACGGUGGGCUCUAACAUAGUCCGCUAAUGACGGUACCUGAAGAAGAAGCACCGGCUAACUACGUG